This 289-nucleotide ribosomal RNA is filed under the name Psychroserpens sp. RNAcentral describes it as "partial 23S ribosomal RNA". It matches the Rfam family "Bacterial large subunit ribosomal RNA", at positions 2623 to 2925 of the family's 2925-position model. Lineage: Bacteria; Pseudomonadati; Bacteroidota; Flavobacteriia; Flavobacteriales; Flavobacteriaceae. The record is from RNAcentral.
GAGACAGUUCGGUCUCUAUCUACUGUGGGCGUUAGAAAUUUGAGUGGAUCUGACUCUAGUACGAGAGGACCGAGUUGGACUAACCUCUGGUGUACCAGUUGUUCCGCCAGGAGCAUUGCUGGGUAGCUACGUUGGGAAAGGAUAAGCGCUGAAAGCAUAUAAGCGCGAAACCUACCACAAGAUGAGAUUUCUUUAAAGGGUCGUGGAAGAUGACCACGUUGAUAGGCUACAGGUGUAAAGGCAGUAAUGUCAUAGCCGAGUAGUACUAAUAACCCAUAGGCUUAUUGUA